GACGUGGAUGGGGCAGCUACCAUGCAGUCGAGCGAGAACUUCGGUUCUAGCGGCGGACGGGUUAGUAACGCGUGGGAACGUGCCCUUCACUACGGAAUAGUCCCGGGAAACUGGGUUUAAUACCGUAUACGCCCUUCGGGGGAAAGAAUUUCGGUGAAGGAUCGGCCCGCGUUAGAUUAGAUAGUUGGUGGGGUAACGGCCUACCAAGUCUACGAUCUAUAGCUGGUUUUAGAGGAUGAUCAGCAACACUGGGACUGAGACACGGCCCAGACUCCUACGGGAGGCAGCAGUGGGGAAUCUUAGACAAUGGGCGCAAGCCUGAUCUAGCCAUGCCGCGUGAGUGAUGAAGGCCUUAGGGUCGUAAAGCUCUUUCGCCAGGGAUGAUAAUGACAGUACCUGGUAAAGAAACCCCGGCUAACUCCGUGCCAGCAGCCGCGGUAAUACGGAGGGGGUUAGCGUUGUUCGGAAUUACUGGGCGUAAAGCGCGCGUAGGCGGAUUGGAAAGUUGGGGGUGAAAUCCCAGGGCUCAACCCUGGAACUGCCUCCAAAACUAUCAGUCUAGAGUUCGAGAGAGGUGAGUGGAACUCCGAGUGUAGAGGUGAAAUUCGUAGAUAUUCGGAAGAACACCAGUGGCGAAGGCGGCUCACUGGCUCGAUACUGACGCUGAGGUGCGAAAGUGUGGGGAGCAAACAGGAUUAGAUACCCUGGUA
Molecule: ribosomal RNA, 710 nt
Filed under: Roseovarius sp.
Lineage: Bacteria; Pseudomonadati; Pseudomonadota; Alphaproteobacteria; Rhodobacterales; Roseobacteraceae
Description: bacterial SSU rRNA
Rfam family: Bacterial small subunit ribosomal RNA
Source: RNAcentral